UGGGGAAUAUUGGACAAUGGGCGAAAGCCUGAUCCAGCCAUGCCGCGUGAGUGAUGAAGGCCCUAGGGUUGUAAAGCUCUUUUGUGCGGGAAGAUAAUGACGGUACCGCAAGAAUAAGCCCCGGCUAACUUCGUGCCAGCAGCCGCGGUAAUACGAAGGGGGCUAGCGUUGCUCGGAAUCACUGGGCGUAAAGGGUGCGUAGGCGGGUUUCUAAGUCAGAGGUGAAAGCCUGGAGCUCAACUCCAGAACUGCCUUUGAUACUGGAAGGCUUGAGUUCGGGAGAGGUGAGUGGAACUGCGAGUGUAGAGGUGAAAUUCGUAGAUAUUCGCAAGAACACCAGUGGCGAAGGCGGCUCACUGGCCCGAUACUGACGCUGAGGCACGAAAGCGUGGGGAGCAAACA
RNAcentral lists this ribosomal RNA (402 nucleotides) under uncultured bacterium. RNAcentral's name for it is "bacterial SSU rRNA". It matches the Rfam family "Bacterial small subunit ribosomal RNA", at positions 355 to 774 of the family's 1533-position model. The record is from RNAcentral.